CCCCACAGUCUUGUUUAGAAUAGGAGGAGAACCUCGUCCUGACAUGAGCUGAAACCGACUGUCGGGAACAAGGGGAGGACCUCGUCCUGAUGCAAAAAAAGACUCGGUUGAUCGAUAAGGAGGAAAGCUUCCUCAAUGACUCCUCUACACUCUCAAGAUCCUAUCAAGAGCGGAGGGAAGACCCUCACUCAAACACAGAAAAAAAAGAGAGACGAAAAGAAAAAGCGACGAACUACACCGAUGAUAGGUAAAAAAUGAACUACAUCAAAGGCACC
Molecule: long non-coding RNA, 275 nt
Filed under: Elaeis guineensis (African oil palm)
Lineage: Eukaryota; Viridiplantae; Streptophyta; Magnoliopsida; Arecales; Arecaceae
Description: long non-coding RNA (EGUI_LNC069791)
Source: RNAcentral